ACAAGUGAGCCAUCCAAGCCAUUCCAGGGAAUGCUGUCUAUAAGGAAAAAGUAAUACACAGGAAUAACAUUAAGAUAAAACCGAAAGAAGGAACAAGAUUUCCUUCCAUGACGUAUACUCUAGUAAACUGCUUGGUAGCCCAAUUAUGGACAAAGAGCCGGUUUACCUACAUACCAGGCAAAUACCUGCCAGAAACAACAGACAUUAGUGUCAGCAUCCUGCACACAGGGCAUCCCUAGCACACUUGGAGACAAGGGAAUGCCUGGGCAUCAAGCUGAGUAGACCAGGAAUUCAUCUCAUGGCAAGGGUACUUUUGCCUCUGGGAUGGCAAACAUCAGAAAGUCAGCUGACUCUGGCCUAUUCCCUAACCUGAA
Long non-coding RNA from Mastomys coucha (southern multimammate mouse), 374 nucleotides. RefSeq lists it as uncharacterized. The record is from RefSeq and is a predicted model, not a curated record. NCBI's taxonomy places the organism in Eukaryota, Metazoa, Chordata, Mammalia, Rodentia, Muridae. The transcript is spliced from 2 exons.